AACGAACGCUGGCGGCAGGCCUAACACAUGCAAGUCGAGCGGUAAGGCCCUUUCGGGGGUACACGAGCGGCGAACGGGUGAGUAACACGUGGGUGACCUGCCCUCAGCUCUGGGAUAAGCCUGGGAAACCGGGUCUAAUACUGGAUAUGACUCCAUGACGCAUGUUGUGGGGUGGAAAGCCUUGUGCGGCUGAGGAUGGGCCCGCGGCCUAUCAGCUUGUUGGGUGGGGUGAUGGCCUACCAAGGCGACGACGGGUAGCCGGCCUGAGAGGGCGACCGGGCCACACUGGGACUGAGACACGGCCCAGACUCCUACGGGAGGCAGCAGUGGGGAAUCUUGCGCAAUGGGCGAAAGCCUGACGCAGCGACGCCGCGUGAGGGAUGACGGCCUC
This 391-nucleotide ribosomal RNA is filed under the name uncultured bacterium. RNAcentral's name for it is "bacterial SSU rRNA". It matches the Rfam family "Bacterial small subunit ribosomal RNA", at positions 28 to 418 of the family's 1533-position model. The record is from RNAcentral.